GGCCUAACACAUGCAAGUCGAGCGCCCCGCAAGGGGAGCGGCAGACGGGUGAGUAACACGUGGGAACGUACCCUUUUCUACGGAAUAACCCAGGGAAACUUGGACUAAUACCGUAUGUGCCCUUCGGGGGAAAGAUUUAUCGGAAAAGGAUCGGCCCGCGUUGGAUUAGCUAGUUGGUGGGGUAAAGGCCUACCAAGGCGACGAUCCAUAGCUGGUCUGAGAGGAUGAUCAGCCACAUUGGGACUGAGACACGGCCCAAACUCCUACGGGAGGCAGCAGUGGGGAAUAUUGGACAAUGGGCGCAAGCCUGAUCCAGCCAUGCCGCGUGAGUGAUGAAGGCCUUAGGGUUGUAAAGCUCUUUCACCGGAGAAGAUAAUGACGGUAUCCGGAGAAGAAGCCCCGGCUAACUUCGUGCCAGCAGCCGCGGUAAUACGAAGGGGGCUAGCGUUG
Molecule: ribosomal RNA, 450 nt
Filed under: uncultured Alphaproteobacteria bacterium
Lineage: Bacteria; Pseudomonadati; Pseudomonadota; Alphaproteobacteria
Description: bacterial SSU rRNA
Rfam family: Bacterial small subunit ribosomal RNA
Source: RNAcentral